This 536-nucleotide small RNA is filed under the name pig gut metagenome. The record is from RNAcentral.
AUAGUGACACGAAGGUGCAGUAUUCUAGUCAACUUACAACGAAUGAGAUGCUGAAAUAAGCAUUACUGGCACAACGAUGAAGUUUCUGGUGCUGGCUUUGAUUGCCCAAAUCGGGGCUGGUGCUGGAAGUUAAGAUUUUUGGGUAGCAUAUAACGGCAUAUAUGCCAACUCCCAAUUAUCGUGGAGACCCACGAGGUGAUGAGACAAAAUGAGUUUGUGUAUUUACCAACUGGAUUAGGAACCUGCAUAUGACGAAAGUUAUGUGCAGUGUAGCCUGCUUUGAGUGUUUCUCUCGGGAUUAAACUUUUGUUUAUGAAAUUGGAUUCGCAAAACCAAGAUAAGUUCGUUCGAUGUUGUAAAGGAAAUCUUCUAGACUGUUCGCUCGCGUGAUGCAUUGGGGAUUAUAGUGUGGUCUCAGUGGUGAUUCGGUGCAAGUUUCGCAUAAAGGGAAACCGCUUGGCUGGUAACGGGCAAGUGCGAAAUUGGGAAAUCCAACCGAACCUUAAGCCGCAAGGUUUACUCUUUGCAUUACCUUC